AAGGGAGACCUAAUUCAGGUAGGAGACGAAAAAAAAGUAGUCCCAACCAAGAAUCAAUCCCAAAAGGUCGGAGCGAGGCGAAAUUGGCUUUCAAACUAGGUUCUGGGUUCACACAAGACCUGAAUCAGGAACAAGGGCUAUUAGCUCAGGUGGUUAGAGCGCACCCCUGAUAAGGGUGAGGUCCCUGGUUCAGGUCCAGGAUGGCCCACCUGCACAGGUGGCAAAAACAAGAGAAGCGAGGAAUCAGCACCUUAUCUUAUAUACAUAUAUAAGAGAGAAUGCUGGCUCUGAGUAAAGAGUCCAGAGGAACCUUGAAAACUGCAUAGAGCUAGGUGAAAAAGCCAAAAAAGAAGACCGCAA
Molecule: transfer RNA, 360 nt
Filed under: uncultured Microcystis sp.
Lineage: Bacteria; Bacillati; Cyanobacteriota; Cyanophyceae; Chroococcales; Microcystaceae
Description: partial 16S-23S ribosomal RNA intergenic spacer
Rfam family: tRNA (bases 135-208)
Source: RNAcentral